AGGUCACAAUUAUAACGGGAGCGGCUUCUCUCCACUGCCUUCCCGUUCGCUGCCUGUCCGCUGCCUUCAACGCAGCGCCGUUUAGCUGGGUGAAAUAGGGGUGAUGAGAUGUGAUGGUCUGACACUCGCAUAAAUGGGAGAAGCGGAGAGCCCCAAAGC
Long non-coding RNA from Neltuma alba, 159 nucleotides. RefSeq lists it as uncharacterized. The record is from RefSeq and is a predicted model, not a curated record. The transcript has 3 exons. NCBI's taxonomy places the organism in Eukaryota, Viridiplantae, Streptophyta, Magnoliopsida, Fabales, Fabaceae.